CGAAUGGUUUCGCUGUAUUGUGAUAUUCAUGGCAAUGAAACAAAAAUUCGCUCGUGGCAAUCAUGCAUUCCUGUCUAUCUUACCCUUCUGAACUUUUUGAUGUUGGCUCGAAAUAAUUGGAUAUUCAUCGCAAUUAUUCUAGGUUUGACCUAUACAGGAACGCAAUCGACAGAUUUAUGCAACAUCGAGAAUUCAAUAGUUUGUCAAGAAUUACGUGAUUUGCAAUGCACGAUUGUUAUAUUGAAAUAUUGAUUUGUAAUUGAAGAUAAGACUAAUUUCUCGACAUUACAUGCUUAAACAAAUGAAGAUUAUUGAGGACGCUUGUUACGUGUAAUCAAACUGCGACCUCCACCUCAGCUGCAAUAAUUAAUGUCUUCUAAAUAUUAUUUAUCAUCAUGGACAAAAAACAGAAAAAUGAAAAGUCCUUUACAC
Molecule: long non-coding RNA, 432 nt
Filed under: Apis florea (little honeybee)
Lineage: Eukaryota; Metazoa; Arthropoda; Insecta; Hymenoptera; Apidae
Description: uncharacterized LOC116415169, transcript variant X1
Source: RNAcentral